Leptonychotes weddellii (Weddell seal) is the source of this 417-nucleotide non-coding RNA. NCBI's taxonomy places the organism in Eukaryota, Metazoa, Chordata, Mammalia, Carnivora, Phocidae. The record is from RefSeq and is a predicted model, not a curated record.
GUCACCGCGAACGUCAGUAGUUACCCCGCCCUUGCCGUCGCCGCCCUCCGGUGCUUAAAAGGCUCCAAUUUACACUGAGAUACUGCAGCCAGUUCCUCCAAAACAGAGAGCAAAAGCAGUAACUGCAUUCAUUCAAGAGAUGCUCCGUUCAUGGUAAAGUUGAGGAAAGGAACUCACAAUACUAACACAGCCUCUGGAAUCAGACCACUUAGGUUAAAAUCCUAGCUUGACCACUUACCAUCUGAAUGCUCUCCAGCAAGUUAUUUCAAUUCUUGGGUCUCAAUUUCCUCAUCUGUAAUAAUAGUAUUUACCUCAGAGGAUGAUUGUGAAGAAUUAAUGAGUUAACAUUUGCAAACAAAUCAGAGAACUCCAGGGCUGCAUCCUUCCGCAGAAGCAACUAAUGAGCUGACAAAAACU